UCAUAUUAUUAUGUGUUAAUAAUGAUAUAUAGCAUGCAUAUACAAUAUACAUGAUUUACAUCACUAUACUCCAACAAAAUCACACUACACAAAAACACUACAUCAUAUAUUUUGCACCCCCAGUUGCCUGGAGAGCACUAAUGUUUGCCAAAAAAGCAAAACACGAUUCGUUAAUGAUCCUUCCGCAGGUUCACCUACGGAAA
RNAcentral lists this unclassified non-coding RNA (203 nucleotides) under uncultured fungus. RNAcentral describes it as "sequence contains ITS1". Lineage: Eukaryota; Fungi. The record is from RNAcentral.